RNAcentral lists this ribosomal RNA (99 nucleotides) under Anoxybacteroides tepidamans. RNAcentral's name for it is "partial 16S ribosomal RNA". It matches the Rfam family "Bacterial small subunit ribosomal RNA", at positions 1 to 93 of the family's 1533-position model. The record is from RNAcentral. Lineage: Bacteria; Bacillati; Bacillota; Bacilli; Caryophanales; Anoxybacillaceae.
UUUUUGGAGAGUUUGAUCCUGGCUCAGGACGAACGCUGGCGGCGUGCCUAAUACAUGCAAGUCGAGCGGACCGAAUGGAAGCUUGCUUCUGUUUGGUUA